AUUGAACGCUGGCGGCAGGCCUAACACAUGCAAGUCGAGCGGUAGCACAGAGAGCUUGCUCUCGGGUGACGAGCGGCGGACGGGUGAGUAAUGUCUGGGAAACUGCCUGAUGGAGGGGGAUAACUACUGGAAACGGUAGCUAAUACCGCAUAAUGUCGCAAGACCAAAGUGGGGGACCUUCGGGCCUCAUGCCAUCAGAUGUGCCCAGAUGGGAUUAGCUAGUAGGUGGGGUAACGGCUCACCUAGGCGACGAUCCCUAGCUGGUCUGAGAGGAUGACCAGCCACACUGGAACUGAGACACGGUCCAGACUCCUACGGGAGGCAGCAGUGGGGAAUAUUGCACAAUGGGCGCAAGCCUGAUGCAGCCAUGCCGCGUGUGUGAAGAAGGCCUUCGGGUUGUAAAGCACUUUCAGCGGGGAGGAAGGCGAUAAGGUUAAUAACCUUGUCGAUUGACGUUACCCGCAGAAGAAGCACCGGCUAACUCCGUGCCAGCAGCCGCGGUAAUACGGAGGGUGCAAGCGUUAAUCGGAAUUACUGGGCGUAAAGCGCACGCAGGCGGUCUGUCAAGUCGGAUGUGAAAUCCCCGGGCUCAACCUGGGAACUGCAUUCGAAACUGGCAGGCUAGAGUCUUGUAGAGGGGGGUAGAAUUCCAGGUGUAGCGGUGAAAUGCGUAGAGAUCUGGAGGAAUACCGGUGGCGAAGGCGGCCCCCUGGACAAAGACUGACGCUCAGGUGCGAAAGCGUGGGGAGCAAACAGGAUUAGAUACCCUGGUAGUCCACGCCGUAAACGAUGUCGAUUUGGAGGUUGUGCCCUUGAGGCGUGGCUUCCGGAGCUAACGCGUUAAAUCGACCGCCUGGGGAGUACGGCCGCAAGGUUAAAACUCAAAUGAAUUGACGGGGGCCCGCACAAGCGGUGGAGCAUGUGGUUUAAUUCGAUGCAACGCGAAGAACCUUACCUGGUCUUGACAUCCACAGAACUUUCCAGAGAUGGAUUGGUGCCUUCGGGAACUGUGAGACAGGUGCUGCAUGGCUGUCGUCAGCUCGUGUUGUGAAAUGUUGGGUUAAGUCCCGCAACGAGCGCAACCCUUAUCCUUUGUUGCCAGCGGUCCGGCCGGGAACUCAAAGGAGACUGCCAGUGAUAAACUGGAGGAAGGUGGGGAUGACGUCAAGUCAUCAUGGCCCUUACGACCAGGGCUACACACGUGCUACAAUGGCAUAUACAAAGAGAAGCGACCUCGCGAGAGCAAGCGGACCUCAUAAAGUAUGUCGUAGUCCGGAUUGGAGUCUGCAACUCGACUCCAUGAAGUCGGAAUCGCUAGUAAUCGUAGAUCAGAAUGCUACGGUGAAUACGUUCCCGGGCCUUGUACACACCGCCCGUCACACCAUGGGAGUGGGUUGCAAAAGAAGUAGGUAGCUUAACCUUCGGGAGGGCGCUUACCACUUUGUGAUU
Molecule: ribosomal RNA, 1449 nt
Filed under: uncultured organism
Description: 16S ribosomal RNA
Rfam family: Bacterial small subunit ribosomal RNA
Source: RNAcentral